UGAAGAUGCAGUGUACCCGCGGCUAGACGGAAAGACCCCGUGAACCUUUACUACAGCUUGGCACUGAACAUUGAACCUACAUGUGUAGGAUAGGUGGGAGGCUUUGAAGACAUGACGCUAGUUGUGUUGGAGCCGUCCUUGAAAUACCACCCUUGUAUGUUUGAUGUUCUAACUUAGCCCCGUUAUCCGGGGUGAGGACAGUGCCUGGUGGGUAGUUUGACUGGGGCGGUCUCCUCCCAAAGAGUAACGGAGGAGCACGAAGGUGGGCUAAUCACGGUUGGACAUCGUGAGGUUAGUGCAAUGGCAUAAGCCCGC
This 315-nucleotide ribosomal RNA is filed under the name Vibrio fluvialis. Its description in RNAcentral is "partial 23S ribosomal RNA". It matches the Rfam family "Bacterial large subunit ribosomal RNA", at positions 2054 to 2368 of the family's 2925-position model. Lineage: Bacteria; Pseudomonadati; Pseudomonadota; Gammaproteobacteria; Vibrionales; Vibrionaceae. The record is from RNAcentral.